GUGUCAGCAGCCGCGGUAAUACGUAGGGUGCGAGCGUUAAUCGGAAUUACUGGGCGUAAAGGGUGCGUAGGCGGUUUGAUAAGUCUGAUGUGAAAUCCCCGGGCUCAACCUGGGAACGGCAUUGGAGACUGUCAAGCUAGAGUGCGUCAGAGGGGGGUAGAAUUCCACGUGUAGCAGUGAAAUGCGUAGAGAUGUGGAGGAAUACCGAUGGCGAAGGCAGCCCCCUGGGAUGACACUGACGCUGAAGCACGAAAGCGUGGGGAGCAAACAGGAUUAGAAACCCCAGUAGUCC
RNAcentral lists this ribosomal RNA (292 nucleotides) under uncultured bacterium. RNAcentral's name for it is "partial 16S ribosomal RNA". It matches the Rfam family "Bacterial small subunit ribosomal RNA", at positions 505 to 796 of the family's 1533-position model. The record is from RNAcentral.